AACGAACGCUGGCGGCAGGCCUAACACAUGCAAGUCGAACGCUCCGCAAGGGGAGUGGCGCACGGGUGAGUAACACGUGGGAACCUACCUUCUGGUACGGAACAACCAAGGGAAACUCUGGCUGAUACCGUAUACGACCUCCGGGUGAAAGAUUGAUCGCCGGAAGAGGGGCCCGCGUCCGAUUAGGUAGUUGGUGAGGUAACGGCUCACCAAGCCUGCGAUCGGUAGCUGGUCUGAGAGGAUGACCAGCCACACUGGGACUGAGACACGGCCCAGACUCCUACAGGAGGCAGCAGUGGGGAAUAUUGGACAAUGGGCGCAAGCCUGAUCCAGCCAUGCCGCGUGAGUGAUGAAGGCCUU
Molecule: ribosomal RNA, 360 nt
Filed under: uncultured bacterium
Lineage: Bacteria
Description: bacterial SSU rRNA
Rfam family: Bacterial small subunit ribosomal RNA
Source: RNAcentral